This 570-nucleotide ribosomal RNA is filed under the name Meyerozyma guilliermondii. RNAcentral's name for it is "eukaryotic LSU rRNA". It matches the Rfam family "Eukaryotic large subunit ribosomal RNA", at positions 67 to 655 of the family's 3401-position model. The record is from RNAcentral. Lineage: Eukaryota; Fungi; Ascomycota; Pichiomycetes; Serinales; Debaryomycetaceae.
CACUUGCAUGCCUUAGUAGCGGCGAGUGAGCGGCAAAAGCUCAAAUUUGAAAUCUGGCGCCUUCGGUGUCCGAGUUGUAAUUUGAAGAUUGUAACCUUGGGGUUGGCUCUUGUCUAUGUUUCUUGGAACAGGACGUCACAGAGGGUGAGAAUCCCGUGCGAUGAGAUGCCCAAUUCUAUGUAAGGUGCUUUCGAAGAGUCGAGUUGUUUGGGAAUGCAGCUCUAAGUGGGUGGUAAAUUCCAUCUAAAGCUAAAUAUUGGCGAGAGACCGAUAGCGAACAAGUACAGUGAUGGAAAGAUGAAAAGAACUUUGAAAAGAGAGUGAAAAAGUACGUGAAAUUGUUGAAAGGGAAGGGUUUGAGAUCAGACUCGAUAUUUUGUGAGCCUUGCCUUCGUGGCGGGGUGACCCGCAGCUUAUCGGGCCAGCAUCGGUUUGGGCGGUAGGAUAAUGGCGUAGGAAUGUGACUUUACUUCGGUGAAGUGUUAUAGCCUGCGUUGAUGCUGCCUGCCUAGACCGAGGACUGCGAUUUUAUCAAGGAUGCUGGCAUAAUGAUCCCAAACCGCCCGUCUU